AUACGUAGGGCGCGAGCGUUGUCCGGAAUUACUGGGUGUAAAGGGUGCGUAGGCGGGACUGCAAGUCAGAUGUGAAAUGCCGGGGCUCAACCCCGGAGCUGCAUUUGAAACUGUGGUUCUUGAGUGAGGUAGAGGUAAGCGGAAUUCCUAGUGUAGCGGUGAGAUGCGUAGAUAUUAGGAGGAACAUCGGUGGCGAAGGCGGCUUACUGGGCCUUUACUGACGCUGAGGCACGAAAGCGUGGGGAGCAAACAGGAUUAGAUACCCUGGUAGUCCACGCUGUAAACGAUGAUGACUAGGUGUGGGGGGACUGAACCCUUCCGUGCCGCAGUUAACACAAUAAGUCAUCCACCUGGGGAGUACGGCCGCAAGGUUGAAACUCAAAUGAAUUGACGGGG
This 396-nucleotide ribosomal RNA is filed under the name uncultured bacterium. RNAcentral's name for it is "partial 16S ribosomal RNA". It matches the Rfam family "Bacterial small subunit ribosomal RNA", at positions 523 to 918 of the family's 1533-position model. The record is from RNAcentral.